UCAUUUGUUCCUACACUUGCUUAUUCCAGUACCCCUUACUUUCAACUUUUUUCCCUUAUCCUAGAAACAUGCUUCUUGAUCUUAUAAUUUGCCAAUAUAUAGAUACAAGAAGAUGUGGUAUGAAUGCCAAUGAGACAACUCUCCAUCCAAGUCACAAUUUGUAAAAGGUAAACCAAUAUAGGUCAAAGUACGGUCUUCAACACGGAGCCUUGGCUCACAACGAACAGCAAGCUAUAAAGGGCCUCAAAAAUUACUUGUGUAAAACCAUAAAAAUGGGAAAACCAACAGUCUAUAAAUCUAUAUAAAAAUCGAGAAACGAGAAACACUUAUGAACCACAUCAACAAACGACAACUACUGAACAUCAGAUUCCUGACUUAGGACAGGUGCAAACAAAUCAUGUGCAGCGGGUUUAAACGUUUUAAGCGGGGGGGGUCUAGGAUGGAAGUUUGAAAAAAGGCAGGACAGGAGUUUUCAGUGAAAAAGGCAGGAUGACAAUUUAUGUAAAAAAAAGACACAAGAUAAACGAAUAACAAAAAGGCAGGACCGAAAUAGAGUGAAAAAUAGAAAGGCAGGACAGAGAUUGCAACUAAAAAAAAUGCAGGACAAAAUUUUUCAUUUUUCAUUCUAGCCCCCCCUCCCCCCUAAAAAUAAAUCAAACGGUAGCUCCCUAAGUAUCCUGAUGCUUUUGACAAGUAUCAUGAUUAAAAACAUAGGGAUUGUUUAAAAUCAUAACGAUGGAAGAACUAUAAUGAUGGCCGUAUCGUUAUGUUUAUACAUGAAACCCACUCAUACUGUUUUGCUAAGAAUGCAUGGGUCCUCAUUUCAGAAUCUGGGACCGUGGGGGCUUAUUUAAAGUUAUGUGUCUUGGUGUGUAUGUAUUCAGAAUUAUAUAAAGUUAACAAGAAUGCAUCUACAAAAUAAACACGGAAGGGGGUUUGCAAUUUUUGCCAAAAAAUGUACAUAUUUUAAUAUAACAUAUUCACUGAAUUUCAGUACCUAUAGUUAUGUUAAUAUUAAAGAAAGAAUGACCUGUACCAGAGACAUAAAUAUUUUUAUUUAAUCCGCACAAACGUAGUGACUUUUGAACAGGUAAAUUUCGCGCAAACGUAAUGUGUUUAAUCGCGCAAACGUGGAUUUUUUUUCUCGCGCAAACGUAAUGCGCCGGUGUAUAUAUGUCUCUGCCUGUAUAUUUAUAUACAAUACUUAAAAUAUGUUUAUAUGUUAAUAUAACUGCACUUAAUCUGUAUCAUCACUCAUAAUUCAUAAAUAUACAGCUACCCUCAAAUUUCUGGAGUUCAUUUUGAGGGGGGCUUAAAAACAUGAAAUCCCGAGGUCCCGAAUUUAAAGAAAUUUAAAUCCCGACAUCCCGAAAUUCGAAAAAAAGAAUUCUCGGAUCCCGAAAGGAUCAAUCCCGAAAUCCCGAGCUUAAAAACACCCGAUCCCGGAGUCCCGAUAAAGGUCCGAUCCCCUUCAUUUUGGAACUUAUUUGAAAUGUGAACUUACAAAAGAAUACAGUAAGAUUCCAAAUAUCACAUUUAUGUAUGUGAUAUGUAGGUCAUUUUUAUAUAAAAUCUCGCAAAAUUAUGACCGAUAUUUUUAGCACAUCUGCGUUUACCCAAUAAUAGGGGGAAAAACACGUCAAGAUGCACGGUGCAAUUUACCUAUAAACGUUAUUAUCAAAUGUUUAUUUUUUAUCGAGAUUGCCAAUUUCCGAGUCCAGUCUGUAUUGUCUUGAAAAUGCAGUAUUUGCAAUACUAAAAACAUUAAGACUUGAUUAAUAAGUUAACGGAAUAUAGAAAUAAUGAAAAUGCUUUGAACAGCGGGAAUCCCAGUUACGUAAUAGGAAAAUUUAGUCCGGAUUCGGUUUUCAUUUUUAAACGCCGGAAAGAUCUAGAUGUUAUGACGCAGACGACACCAAGGACGCUGUGCCCGAUUGUUCAUUAGAAAUGUUGUAACUGCUAUACAAACAUACACGGACAUUUGAAUGCAAACAUUUGAAAUGGCAUAAAAUAAGCAGUCCAAGCUGAGGCGGAGUGUUUAAUGAGAAGAAGGUGGCUUUUCAACUUCAAAAAUGGGGACGACUUGUCUUGUGAACAGAACAGCCAACCAAACGCAACAAGAGGCAGAUAAUUUAUUUUGUGCCAAUCACUCUUCCAACAACUGAAAUUGGUUUGUCAAAUAUGUUUGUUGGUGUAUGAUCAGAUCUGCAUUAUAGUAUUAGUAUUAAACAAACUGUAAAGAAAAGAAAAUGAUGUUUUAGACAUUGAACAACAGGAUUAUAUCAUCAUGACCAUUGGAAUCUUACAAGGAGAAGUGCAAAUAAAUGAAGGAAUUCAUGUGCAAAAAUUAUAAUAUUGUAAACAGGAGAACAGUCUUAAAUAAUACUAACAGUUAAACAGUUUUGUGAACAAGAGUCCAAGAGCAAGGCAGAGUCAACUUGGACUCAGUCUUGGAGUGUAUAUAUGUCAACCACAAGUACAUUAAGAACACAUAAUGCUAAUGAAAUAAGAACUAUGGUACACAUUUUGUAUGAUUGUAAAUAUCUCAUCCAAAAAAAUGUAGUUGUUAAAUAAAUAGAAUUGAAAUAACUAAA
Long non-coding RNA from Mytilus californianus (California mussel), 2594 nucleotides. RefSeq lists it as uncharacterized. The record is from RefSeq and is a predicted model, not a curated record. The transcript is spliced from 4 exons. NCBI's taxonomy places the organism in Eukaryota, Metazoa, Mollusca, Bivalvia, Mytilida, Mytilidae.